This is a long non-coding RNA of Sinocyclocheilus rhinocerous, 679 nucleotides long. RefSeq lists it as uncharacterized. Lineage: Eukaryota; Metazoa; Chordata; Actinopteri; Cypriniformes; Cyprinidae. The transcript is spliced from 2 exons. The record is from RefSeq and is a predicted model, not a curated record.
UUACUAUGGCGAUGGAACACUCUGAAACCCGUGGGUUCUGGAUGCAGAGAUCAUUAUGAGUGCGGAACCAACUUCUGCAGGAAACACACCUGCUCCUUCAAUAAAGCUCAACAGGUGUGACUGAGUCCAAAUGAUUAUGGCACUAAUUCAAAUGAUUGAAAACAAAAUGGCUAAAAUUGUGCAUCCCUUGAUUUCUCAAACAUCAUGACCUACAUAAAUCUGACAGAACAUUCAAAGACAGCUGAAGACUUUAAGAUCUACACCAACCUCAAGACUGUAUCCAGGUGAAUCUCACCAAGAAAUGUCCAGGUCAUAUUAAACUCCAAAAUCAGAAGCAUUUUUGGCCUGAAAUAUGACCUGGUGUGUUUUUGACAUAUUCUCCCCUUCAGAAACCACUCAGGAACAUAUCUACAAGAACUCCAGUUUCAGCACUGAUGUUUUAUAGUUGUACAGAUCUUGAUAACGUGUAAAUUAUUAACUUUGCAUCUAUAGUUUCUGAUUCAGAUUCAAUGAGGCCGAGAUGUUUGAUCUGAUCAAAUACAAACACGCAUGGCCAAAGAAUCUGUAGCAAAUGUAUUUCAUUAUCAGCUGCAGCUUCCAGAAGAACUUUUAUUUAUUUUGUAAAUAUCAGACACAUGAGAUGGUGUAACAUGCUUUUUUGUUAAAAUGUUUUAUUGUU